GGAAUGCGUGGGCCUGGUGGCCCGGCCGGUCUUCAAAACCGGCUUACGGGCGGAGAAUGUCCGUGGCGGUUCGAUUCCCCCGCAUUCCG
Molecule: transfer RNA, 89 nt
Filed under: Actinomycetota bacterium
Lineage: Bacteria; Bacillati; Actinomycetota
Description: tRNA-Sec
Rfam family: Selenocysteine transfer RNA
Source: RNAcentral